Molecule: ribosomal RNA, 293 nt
Filed under: uncultured bacterium
Lineage: Bacteria
Also listed under: 1 other name
Description: partial 16S ribosomal RNA
Source: RNAcentral
GGACUACCAGGGUAUCUAAUCCCGUUUGCUCCCCUGGCUUUCGCGCAUCAGCGUCAGAAAAGGACCAGCAAUCCGCUUUCGCCACCGGCGUUCCUGUCGAUAUCAACGCAUUUCACCGCUCCACCGACAGUUCCGAUUGCCCCUUCCUUCCUCGAGCCGCAGUGGUAUCGAGGGCAGUUCCCCAGUUAAGCUGGGGGAUUUCACCCGCGACCCGCUCGGCCGCCUACGCGCCCUUUAAGCCCAGUAAUUCCGAAUAACGUUUGGACGGUUCGUCUUACCGCGGCUGCUGGCAC